GUAAGGCAACGACGUUGCGAUAUGUUCUGCUAUUUUAUUCCUGUUUUGUUCUGUUUUCUGCGACUGAAAAUCGCAGUGUCGGUGGUUCGAUUCCGCCCCUGGGCACCA
This 108-nucleotide transfer RNA is filed under the name Magnetospirillum sulfuroxidans. Its description in RNAcentral is "Magnetospirillum sp. J10 tRNA-OTHER". Lineage: Bacteria; Pseudomonadati; Pseudomonadota; Alphaproteobacteria; Rhodospirillales; Rhodospirillaceae. The record is from RNAcentral.